This is a transfer RNA of 106 nucleotides. It matches the Rfam family "tRNA". Rfam says of the family: Transfer RNA (tRNA) molecules are approximately 80 nucleotides in length. The record is from Rfam.
GGUCCGCUGGCUCAAUGGCAGAGCGUCUGACUACGACUCCCGUUCUGAAAUAUUCAGAUCGGAUCGGGUAAUCAGGAGGUUCCAGGUUCGACCCCUGGGUGGAUCG